AACGAACGCUGGCGGCAUGCCUAACACAUGCAAGUCGAACGAGACCUUCGGGUCUAGUGGCGCACGGGUGCGUAACGCGUGGGAACCUGCCCUUAGGUUCGGAAUAACUCCCCGAAAGGGGUGCUAAUACCGGAUAAUGUCUUCGGACCAAAGAUUUAUCGCCUUGGGAUGGGCCCGCGUUGGAUUAGCUAGUUGGUAGGGUAAAAGCCUACCAAGGCGACGAUCCAUAGCUGGUCUGAGAGGAUGAUCAGCCACACUGGGACUGGGACACGGCCCAGACUCCUACGGGAGGCAGCAGUGGGGAAUAUUGUACAAUGGGCGAAAGCCUGAGCCAGCAAUGCCGCGUGAGUGAUGAAGGCCUUAGGGUUGUAAAGCUCGUUUACCCGGGAUGAUAAUGACAGUACCGGGAGAAUAAGCGCCGGCUAACUCCGUG
This 433-nucleotide ribosomal RNA is filed under the name uncultured bacterium. Its description in RNAcentral is "partial 16S ribosomal RNA". It matches the Rfam family "Bacterial small subunit ribosomal RNA", at positions 29 to 507 of the family's 1533-position model. The record is from RNAcentral.